RNAcentral lists this ribosomal RNA (685 nucleotides) under Anomala sp. 2 DA-2006. RNAcentral describes it as "eukaryotic LSU rRNA". It matches the Rfam family "Eukaryotic large subunit ribosomal RNA", at positions 644 to 1286 of the family's 3401-position model. The record is from RNAcentral. RNAcentral also lists the same sequence under 2 other names. Lineage: Eukaryota; Metazoa; Arthropoda; Insecta; Coleoptera; Scarabaeidae.
GGGACCCGUCUUGAAACACGGACCAAGGAGUCUAGCAUGUGCGCGAGUCAUUGGGACUCUAACGAAACCUAAAGGCGUAAUGAAAGUGAAGGUUCGCCUAGCGCGAACCGAGGGAGGAUGGACGGUCUAUCGUGGCCGUCCGGCACUCCCUGGGCGUCUCGUUCUCAUCGCGAGAAGAGGCGCACCAAGAGCGUACACGCUGGGACCCGAAAGAUGGUGAACUAUGCCUGGUCAGGACGAAGUCAGGGGAAACCCUGAUGGAGGUCCGUAGCGAUUCUGACGUGCAAAUCGAUCGUCGGAACUGGGUAUAGGGGCGAAAGACUAAUCGAACCAUCUAGUAGCUGGUUCCCUCCGAAGUUUCCCUCAGGAUAGCUGGCGCUCGCUUCUCGCGAGUCUCAUUCGGUAAAGCGAAUGAUUAGAGGCAUUGGGGUCGAAACGGCCUCAACCUAUUCUCAAACUUUAAAUGGGUGAGAUCUCCGGCUUGCUUGAACUGUGAAGCCGCGAGAUAUCGGAUCAGAGUGCCAAGUGGGCCACUUUUGGUAAGCAGAACUGGCGCUGUGGGAUGAACCAAACGCCGAGUUAAAGCGCCUAAAUCGACGCUUAUGGGAUACCAUGAAAGGCGUUGGUAACUUAAGACAGCAGGACGGUGGCCAUGGAAGUCGGAAUCCGCUAAGGAGUGUGUAAA